This 505-nucleotide ribosomal RNA is filed under the name uncultured bacterium. RNAcentral's name for it is "partial 16S ribosomal RNA". It matches the Rfam family "Bacterial small subunit ribosomal RNA", at positions 28 to 507 of the family's 1533-position model. The record is from RNAcentral.
GACGAACGCUGGCGGCGUGCCUAAUACAUGCAAGUCGAACGCACAGUUUAUACCGUAGCUUGCUACACCAUAGACUGUGAGUUGCGAACGGGUGAGUAACGCGUAGGUAACCUGCCUGGUAGCGGGGGAUAACUAUUGGAAACGAUAGCUAAUACCGCAUAAUAUUAAUUAUUGCAUGAUAAUUAAUUGAAAGGUGCAAUUGCACCACUACCAGAUGGACCUGCGUUGUAUUAGCUAGUAGGUGAGGUAACGGCUCACCUAGGCGACGAUACAUAGCCGACCUGAGAGGGUGAUCGGCCACACUGGGACUGAGACACGGCCCAGACUCCUACGGGAGGCAGCAGUAGGGAAUCUUCGGCAAUGGACGAAAGUCUGACCGAGCAACGCCGCGUGAGUGAAGAAGGGUUUCGGAUCGUAAAGCUCGGUUGUAAGAGAAGAACGGGUGUGAGAGUGGAAAGUUCACACUGUGACGGUAUCUUACCAGAAAGGGACGGCUAACUACGUG